Molecule: long non-coding RNA, 885 nt
Organism: Oncorhynchus keta (chum salmon)
Lineage: Eukaryota; Metazoa; Chordata; Actinopteri; Salmoniformes; Salmonidae
Exons: 6
Source: RefSeq, a predicted model, not a curated record
CCUGACUCCUCCCCUUCACCUAUACUGAUUGAAGUGGAUUUAACAAGGGACAUCAAUAUGGGAUCACAGCUUUCACCUGUAUUCAUCUGGUCAGUCUGUCAGGGAAAGAGCAGGUGUUCUUAAUGUUUUGUCCACUCUGUGUAUAUGAAUGGGAUUAAAUGUGCCAUAUGACCACUAGUAUCAGUAUGACGAGGUUAGUGUCAGACUGACCUGUGGUAGACAGUAUGAUGAGGUUAGUGUCAGACUGACCUGUGGUAGACAGUAUGACGAGGUUAGUGUCAGACUGACCUGUGGUAGACAGUAUGACGAGGUUAGUGUCAGACUGACCUGUGGUAGACAGUAUGACGAGGUUAGUGUCAGACUGACCUGUGGUAGACAGUAUGACGAGGUUAGUGUCAGACUGACCUGUGGUAGACAGUAUGACGAGGUUAGUGUCAGACUGACCUGUGGUAGACAGUAUGACGAGGUUAGUGUCAGACUGACCUGUGGUAGACAGUAUGACGAGGUUAGUGUCAGACUGACCUGUGGUAGACAGUAUGACGAGGUUAGUGUCAGACUGACCUGUGGUAGACAGUAUGACGAGGUUAGUGUCAGACUGACCUGUGGUAGACAGUAUGACGAGGUUAGUGUCAGACUGACCUGUGGUAGACAGUAUGACGAGGUUAGUGUCAGACUGACCUGUGGUAGACAGUAUCAGUAUGAUGAGGUUAGUGUCAGACUGACCUGUGGUAGACAGUAUCAGUAUGAUGAGGUUAGUGUCAGACUGACCUGUGGUAGACAGUAUCAGUCAUCUCACACCAGGACCGGGCCCUGUCCACAGCACAACCAUCAGAGUCUGUACACUGACAGACAGAAGGAGAGAGAGAGAGAGACAGAGGAAAUCAG